UGAGCCAAGCUGCCAAGUCAGUUUCCCACAAUGCAGCUGGCAUAGCUUUGCUCUGGGGCAUUGUGGGAAAUUCAGCUGUUGGCUAUACUCAGAGACCUUGGGAUGCUACCAGAUAAGUCCAAAGGGUCUCACAGACCAAGGAAGAGGCCUACCAGGAUUCAGUUGGCCUAAGUCCCCCUGAGACCUGGAACCGACCCCAAAGCAACCUAGUAGGCCUCACCCCACAUUGCCUAUCCGUGAAUUGAGAGUAUACCCUUCAACUCAGACUGUGUGUUGUGGGGAAGGCGGACAGUGACGGAUUAUGUUUUUAAAAGCCAGGAUACGGUGAAGCACUGCUGGAAACUGACCUGAGAAGUUCUGCUCAACUAUUCAUGCUAGAAGAUCAUUGCGUUGAUCGGUUCCAGAGGUACCAAACGUCGGAUCGCCUUCCUUCCCCUGUCUGUUUCCUCCAGCUGUCUCAAGAACCACUUUUUUUGCUGUUUACUGAGGUUCCCUCAUCUUUUUUUUUUUUUUAAACUAUUACUCAUUUGUGCCGGGACCAACGGACAAGAAGCAAAAGAAACCUUCCAAGGAUGCCCAUAUUCAGAUGAGAAAGAGAAACAAAAGUUUUCUCCUACCCGAUUAAACUGAAAGGAAAAAAAGGGAUGAUUUGGAGCAAAGCAACGAGGAGCUUUUAAGAAGCGGACAGAAAAGCUCCUGGCGCCGGAUUGCAGGUCUUCAGCCCCCAGCCAGAGAAAGAGAAGCGUAAAAAAGGGGGAGGCGGCGGCCGGGUCUCUAACGCGAACGGGGCUUCAAGAGAAGGGCUUCUGGAGCUAAUAAUGGAAGCUCGCCUUGUAUACCUCGCCCGCCUGCGACUUAAGCCAGUUUGCCGGCGAGGCGAGGCGAACCGAGGUAGGGAAAAGGCGCACGGGGAGCGCGUAAAAAUUCACGUUGCAAAAGGAGGGCUGGUUUUAUUUUUGGCGAGCCCAGAUGCAAAACCCCCGCGGCUCAAAGAAACCCCUUCUUCCCUUGAAGCAGCCCCCAAACCUGCCAGCUUGACUUCUAAGCUCCACAACUGACCGGAUCCUGUCCAGAUAAGGCACCCACACACCCACUCAAAACACGUCUCCAUGCCUCAAAUGGGAACACACCUGAGGAAAUGCAGGUUGCUGUUGUAAAAGUUAUUGUUCUUAUUUUUAUCGCCACCAUUAUCAUUAUUAGCAGCAACAACCCUGAGAUCCGUAGCAAACGUUCAAGGCAGCGUCUUACCUGAAGAGCUCUAGAAAGGAGUGUUUAUUUGGGGACCCCCAAAGUGGUUCCUCCUUAAGGGGUAAGAAAGGGGGAUGGGUUUGGGGAUGGAGGGACGGAAGGAAGGGAGAGACGCGGUGAUGUAACCAAGAGGAGGAGGUUGGUCCUUCUCGCAAAGGAUUCCUGCGUUAAUUAAAAUAAACAAGCUAAUUGGGGGUGGAGAAUGAGAGUCCCGCUCUUUCUCUUUCCUUUCUCUCUCUUCCCGUCCCCUGCCCCCAAUCGCAAUCUCCACCGCACCUCUAUGGAGAACCGGCGCAAAUGUCUAACCUCUGGCAUCUUACCACAGCGCCUUGCUUUUGAGGGGUUCUAUAACCCCAUGUAGAAAUGCGGCUAGUAGUAAUACUAAUAGAUAGAAAUUCCCCUUCCCAGCAAAUGAAAAGCAAUAAUAAUAAUAAUAAAAUAAUAUUAAUAAUAAUGAAAUCGGACCCUACCUGCCAGUAUUCGCAAAGCUGCGAGGUCUGCCUGCUUAGCACUCCAUCAGUGAUCAGGUGAGGGAGACCUUGCGGUAAAGAAAAACGAGGGAGCCAAGAGCGUGAUUGGAAACGAGGGAUGAAGGGACCUGCCAAACGUCUCCUCCCCACCCCACCCCCACUCCCCGCUCCCCAAUAGACGCAUCGGGGGGGGGGAGACGCUGUUUGGCGCACAAUGCAACCUUCCUUCGCUUUGCCAGGAUUGAGGUCUAGGUGGAUAGAUUUACAAGAGCGCCUCAGCCUCGAUUCCUGCGCGCUCCUCUUCUGGUCUGAAAGUGCGCGCUCUGUGUGUUUGUGUAUAUUGAAAUACAUAUAUAUAUAUUUAAAGGGGGAAAAAGACCACUGUUGCUAGCCUACGGGAUGUCUGAUGCCUUCCCAUUAAAGAUAACUCCUCUCUCUUCUCUCUCUCAAUCGUCAACUUGAUGUGAUCUGAUCUGAUCCGCGGGUGCGGAGAGAAGACCUGGCUUGGCCAGCUAAAAAGGAACUUGAAACACACAGGAUUAUUCUAAGGAAAGCAGGGAGGAUUGCAGAAGCACGGGCCCCAUUUUAACUCAAUUAAAUAAAGAAUCAGGUGCUUGUAGGAAUGGGAUUCACUCUUGCUGCUCUUUCCUUCCUUCCUUCCUUAGUAUGACAGCAAUGCUCCUGAAAGUGCGAUCCACCGAGGCCAAAGAAACAGGGGAGACAAGGCGAGGGUUGGAAAUCACCUUGUAAAGACUUGGGGAGAAUCACUGCACAGACUUUAUUCCCAGAGUUGAAAAGUGCAAGGACGCAAUCGACGCGGGGGAAAGUCUCCUGCGCAAGCCCCCGCCCCUUCGCCCAGAAAUGAAUGAGGUUAGUGGUUUUGCUCGGCUGAUGGCGCCCAUUUCAACCGAGCUGCCUCCGCAGGUGAAGUUCCUAGUCGAUUGUCUCGCUAAGCCCACCUUCCUCUUGCACAGGAAUGUCAACUUGAGUAAAAUAUUUGAAUGGCAAUGCCCAUCAA
Podarcis raffonei (Aeolian wall lizard) is the source of this 2736-nucleotide long non-coding RNA. RefSeq lists it as uncharacterized. The record is from RefSeq and is a predicted model, not a curated record. The transcript has 3 exons. Lineage: Eukaryota; Metazoa; Chordata; Lepidosauria; Squamata; Lacertidae.